GCUGAAGUGGCGGAAUGGUAGACGCACAGGACUUAAAAUCCUGUGAUCGUAAGAUCGUUCGGGUUCAAGUCCCGAUUUCAGCACCA
RNAcentral lists this transfer RNA (86 nucleotides) under Mycoplasmataceae bacterium. Its description in RNAcentral is "tRNA-Leu". It matches the Rfam family "tRNA". Rfam says of the family: Transfer RNA (tRNA) molecules are approximately 80 nucleotides in length. Their secondary structure includes four short double-helical elements and three loops (D, anti-codon, and T loops). The record is from RNAcentral. Lineage: Bacteria; Bacillati; Mycoplasmatota; Mollicutes; Mycoplasmatales; Mycoplasmataceae.